This 77-nucleotide transfer RNA is filed under the name Rhodospirillaceae bacterium. RNAcentral's name for it is "tRNA-Pro". It matches the Rfam family "tRNA". From Rfam's summary of the family: Transfer RNA (tRNA) molecules are approximately 80 nucleotides in length. Their secondary structure includes four short double-helical elements and three loops (D, anti-codon, and T loops). The record is from RNAcentral. RNAcentral also lists the same sequence under 1 other name. Lineage: Bacteria; Pseudomonadati; Pseudomonadota; Alphaproteobacteria; Rhodospirillales; Rhodospirillaceae.
CGGAGCGUAGCUCAGCCUGGUAGAGCACUGCUUUCGGGAGGCAGGGGUCGGAGGUUCAAAUCCUCUCGCUCCGACCA